UUUUCGAACGGGAAACCUUUUAUUGAAGCUUCAGCAGAUUUAACUGGUUUCUAGUGGCGGACGGGUGAGUAACGCGUGGGUAACCUGCCUUGUACAGGGGGAUUACAGUCAGAAAUGACUGCUAAUACCGCAUAAGCGCACAGGACCGCAUGGUCCGGUGUGAAAAACUCCGGUGGUAUAAGAUGGACCCGCGUUGGAUUAGCUUGUUGGUGGGGUAACGGCCCACCAAGGCGACGAUCCAUAGCCGGCCUGAGAGGGUGAACGGCCACAUUGGGACUGAGACACGGCCCAGACUCCUACGGGAGGCAGCAGUGGGGAAUAUUGCACAAUGGGGGAAACCCUGAUGCAGCGACGCCGCGUGAAGGAAGAAGUAUCUCGGUAUGUAAACUUCUAUCAGCAGGGAAGAAAAUGACGGUACCUGACUAAGAAGCCCCGGCUAACUACGUGCCAGCAGCCGCGGUAAUACGUAGGGGGCAAGCGUUAUCCGGAUUUACUGGGUGUAAAGGGAGCGUAGACGGAUGGACAAGUCUGAUGUGAAAGGCUGGGGCUCAACCCCGGGACUGCAUUGGAAACUGCCCGUCUUGAGUGCCGGAGAGGUAAGCGGAAUUCCUAGUGUAGC
RNAcentral lists this ribosomal RNA (619 nucleotides) under uncultured bacterium. RNAcentral's name for it is "bacterial SSU rRNA". It matches the Rfam family "Bacterial small subunit ribosomal RNA", at positions 59 to 679 of the family's 1533-position model. The record is from RNAcentral.